Molecule: ribosomal RNA, 465 nt
Filed under: uncultured bacterium
Lineage: Bacteria
Description: bacterial SSU rRNA
Rfam family: Bacterial small subunit ribosomal RNA
Source: RNAcentral
CCUACGGGAGGCAGCAGUGGGGAAUAUUGCACAAUGGGCGCAAGCCUGAUGCAGCCAUGCCGCGUGUAUGAAGAAGGCCUUCGGGUUGUAAAGUACUUUCAGCGGGGAGGAAGGUGUUGUGGUUAAUAACCUCAGCAAUUGACGUUACCCGCAGAAGAAGCACCGGCUAACUCCGUGCCAGCAGCCGCGGUAAUACGGAGGGUGCAAGCGUUAAUCGGAAUUACUGGGCGUAAAGCGCACGCAGGCGGUCUGUCAAGUCGGAUGUGAAAUCCCCGGGCUCAACCUGGGAACUGCAUUCGAAACUGGCAGGCUAGAGUCCUGUAGAGGGGGGUAGAAUUCCAGGCGCAGCGGUGAAAUGCGUAGAGAUCUGGAGGAAUACCGGUGGCGAAGGCGGCCCCCUGGACAAAGACUGACGCUCAGGUGCGAAAGCGUGGGGAGCAAACAGGAUUAGAUACCCUCGUAGUC